AAUCAAAGUGGUUAGCGGAUUUUUAUACCGCUUGACCCGAACACGGAUAUGGUAACACAUUUAUGGCACAUGACAAGUAAUAACUAUAAUAUAACUAUAUGUAAAUAUUUAUCCUGACCUGUAUUUUUAUAUGACUGUUACACGAACAUUUAACCAUUCGGUACCAUUACCACGGUUAUAUUAACUAGUAUGCGGUCAAAAGUGAAUUUACGCGAUUCACAAAUCUCUUAUUACGCUAUCCUAUCCAUAAUUAUUUCCCUAUACACUAAUAAUAUCAUUUAAUACGUAUAUAGAUAUAUUU
This is a non-coding RNA of Cinara cedri, 301 nucleotides long. Lineage: Eukaryota; Metazoa; Arthropoda; Insecta; Hemiptera; Aphididae. The record is from the annotation of a GenBank genome assembly.